RNAcentral lists this ribosomal RNA (737 nucleotides) under uncultured bacterium. RNAcentral's name for it is "bacterial SSU rRNA". It matches the Rfam family "Bacterial small subunit ribosomal RNA", at positions 51 to 786 of the family's 1533-position model. The record is from RNAcentral.
AUACAUGCAGACGAACGGCAAGAUUGAUAGCAAUAUUGAUCCUAGAGUGUCGUACGGGUGCGUAACACGUAUGCAACCUACCUUUUACAGGAGUAUAGCUCGGUGAAAACCGAAUUAACCCUCCAUAAGAUCAUAUUCAGGCAUCUGGAAGUGAUUAAAACUGCGGUGGUAAAAGAUGGGCAUGCGUUUGAUUAGUUAGUUGGUAGUGUAACGGACUACCAAGACGAUGAUCAAUAGGGGACCUGAGAGGGUGAUCCCCCACACUGGCACUGAGAUACGGGCCAGACUCCUACGGGAGGCAGCAGUAGGGAAUAUUGGACAAUGGGUGAGAGCCUGAUCCAGCCAUGCCGCGUGCAGGAAGAAGGCGUUAUGCGUUGUAAACUGCUUUAGCCAGGGGAUAAAAAGACCUUGCGAGGUUAAUUGAAGGUACCUGGAUAAUAAGCCACGGCUAACUACGUGCCAGCAGCCGCGGUAAUACGUAGGUGGCAAGCGUUGUCCGGAUUUAUUGGGUUUAAAGGGUGCGUAGGCGGCCCUGCAAGUCAGUGCUGAAAUAUCCCGGCUUAACCGGGAGGGUGGCAUUGAUACUGCAGGGCUUGAGUACAGAUGAAGUACGCGGAAUUGACGGUGUAGCGGUGAAAUGCAUAGAUAUCGUCAAGAACACCGAUAGCGAAAGCAGCUUACUAAGCUGUAACUGGCGCUGAGGCACGAAAGUGUGGGGAUCAACAGGAUUAGAUACY